This is a non-coding RNA of Heligmosomoides polygyrus, 72 nucleotides long. Lineage: Eukaryota; Metazoa; Nematoda; Chromadorea; Rhabditida; Heligmosomidae. The record is from Rfam.
GCGCUGGUGGUGUAAUGCGUAGCAUCGCUGCCCAUAAAGCAGAAGGUGCGGGUUCGAGUCCCACCUGGUGCA